UGCCAGCACACCCUCUUUCAAAGAAAGCAGUUUCUAUAGCUUCAUCACCUGAUACCCAAAUGGAACCAGUAGCAAGAAAGUAACAGAAGGGUCUUGUCACUAAUUUACAUUUCCUACUCCAGCUCUUGGUUCCAUCAAAUGGUCUGAUUUGUAUUCAGUAGGGUCACGAUAUCAGAUAUCCCACAUCGAAAACAAAGGAACUGAGCUUCCAUCAAGUGCUUAUAAAAAGAAAAGCUAACAACGGGUAAAACUCACGCAGCCGCGCGGUGCGCACAGAGCGAACUAUUCUUUCGCCUUUUACUAAAGAAUACCGUGUGCGCGCCGCAGAUAGCGGCAUACGCUUAUUUUUGGAGGGUUGUCUUCGUAAGAAUGAGAGCCCCAACAACUCAAGUAUGAAGUUUGUCCCUGCGUUUGGAGUUUUAAUAAUCCGAGCCUGAUAUGAAAUACGAGGAGUAGGUAUUCUAUAAUAAUCGCUAGGCUACAAUUUAAUUGGAAAGGGUCGGAUUUAUUCUUGAGCCCUAAUUUUAUCAUCCUUUCCCUACUAGCGUCGUUUUCCUCUUUCUUCUGUAUUCUCCUUUCAUCUUAUCAUUUCGGAAUUAACAGAGCCCAGGUUUACUCUCUCUAGAACGAGGGCUUUUUCAAUGCGGUAUGAGAUUUGUUUGGGAAUAGAAUUUAGACUUCAUGAGACAUGCUCUAAAUUGCUUGUUCUUGUGUAUUUUUCUUGCUCUUUUGAUUCCAUCCCCAUGAGAACAAUUUCGUAGUUUCAAAAUAAAAGCCUUGAAAAUUGACGCUGCUAAAAGGUUAGCAGUGUCAACUGUCACCAACUGCUCCAGAGUGAAGUACUUAAGAGAGAAAUGUUCAACAAAAUAUGUAUCCAGAGUCGGCUAUGCAACUGCAAAUACUCCAAGCAGCAUAAGGCAUCGCAUUCUGCUGUUGCUGCAUGAGUUUUAUGACCUUGUCAUCUGCUGUAAAUCAAUCCUUGUUGCGGUCAAAUAUGAGUUGGUAUUUCCUCUUGAAAUAAGAGUAGAUUCUAUUGUUCUUGUCUUUUUGUUCCUCACAAAUCUCUUCCAACACCCCAAGUCGGACCAUUAACAACGGUGACAAUAUUGGGCGAUGAUGCAUUGGUCAAGUGACUUGAGGGCUCGAUGCUGAGCUCCGGGAAAUUCUGCCCUAACACUUCCAAAAUCAACCUUCGAAGUUCAUUUUUGGGUACAAACACUUGGGAUGGAAAUGAUUUACAUCCCUCACGGGUUCAGGAUAUUAUUUCUCUAGCAUAUAAUCAAAUAACUUUCGCUCCAUCAACUUUGGAUACACAUGCCUAAUUGGGGUAUAAACUCAAUGGACUAGGAGAAAUACGGGCGUAGGGGAUACAAAAUGACGCGUUGUUGAGAUCUCAACUUUAAGUACCCCACAUCGAGAAACUACAAUAUGUAAACAAGGCCUACGUGUACUAAUAUGAAGCUUGAGAUUCCAGUAACUCUAAAAGAAAAAAGUUGUUUUCCAAGAAGGCAUCGACUGUGGAAGAUCGUAAGAAGUAUGGAAAUUAAAAUCGAAGUCAUACGGAUCCCAAGAUGUAUCACUGUUUAGAGAAGCCCAAUAAAGCGGACACACGCAAAAACGGAUCGCAUUCAUAUAUAAGCUCACGCUGACACGUUAAUUUGCGAUCCAAUUCGGGAUUUUUCUUAGGUGUGAAAAAGCUCUCUAUUGUACCUGAGAUGGGAAUAUUGAGAGAAGAAAAACACAAAAGAUUUCACAUAGCAAAUUUGAUAGG
Molecule: long non-coding RNA, 1771 nt
Organism: Populus euphratica (Euphrates poplar)
Lineage: Eukaryota; Viridiplantae; Streptophyta; Magnoliopsida; Malpighiales; Salicaceae
Exons: 2
Source: RefSeq, a predicted model, not a curated record